AGAGUUUGAUCCUGGCUCAGGACGAACGCUGGCGGCGUGCUUAACACAUGCAAGUCGAACGGUAAGGCCCUUCGGGGUACACGAGUGGCGAACGGGUGAGUAACACGUGGGUAAUCUGCCCUGCACAUCGGGAUAAGCCUGGGAAACUGGGUCUAAUACCGAAUAGGACCACAGGACACAUGUCCUGUGGUGGAAAGCUUUUGCGGUGUGGGAUGGGCCCGCGGCCUAUCAGCUUGUUGGUGGGGUGAUGGCCUACCAAGGCGACGACGGGUAGCCGGCCUGAGAGGGUGUCCGGCCACACUGGGACUGAGAUACGGCCCAGACCCCUACGGGAGGCAGCAGUGGGGAAUAUUGCACAAUGGGCGAAAGCCUGAUGCAGCGACGCCGCGUGGGGGAUGACGGCCUUCGGGUUGUAAACCUCUUUCACCAUCGACGAAGGUCCGGGUUUUCUCGGGCUGACGGUAGGUGGAGAAGAAGCACCGGCCAACUACGUGCCAGCAGCCGCGGUAAUACGUAGGGUGCGAGCGUUGUCCGGAAUUACUGGGCGUAAAGAGCUCGUAGGUGGUUUGUCGCGUUGUUCGUGAAAUCUCACGGCUUAACUGUGAGCGUGCGGGCGAUACGGGCAGACUUGAGUACUGCAGGGGAGACUGGAAUUCCUGGUGUAGCGGUGGAAUGCGCAGAUAUCAGGAGGAACACCGGUGGCGAAGGCGGGUCUCUGGGCAGUAACUGACGCUGAGGAGCGAAAGCGUGGGGAGCGAACAGGAUUAGAUACCCUGGUAGUCC
This 783-nucleotide ribosomal RNA is filed under the name uncultured bacterium. RNAcentral describes it as "bacterial SSU rRNA". It matches the Rfam family "Bacterial small subunit ribosomal RNA", at positions 8 to 796 of the family's 1533-position model. The record is from RNAcentral.